CUACACAUCCAGUACACAGAGUACUCAUUUGGAGUCAUGUUUCUUGCUAAAUGAAUUAUGGAAGACCAAGGCUCCCUUUCUUUUAGCUCCGCUUUGGUCUUCACUGACUCCUGAAGGAAUCGUCUGUCUGCUGCUGGGCAGAAGCAUACAAAUUCCAUUGAAGAUGAAACACUUCAAUAUUCAGUAUGGUGAUAAAUAAUUCACAAAAAAGUGGAGUGAGGAAGAAAAUGGGAGGUUUGUGUACUGCCACGUCUCACACGAACACUGCUCCAACAAUCUACCAACUCCUGCCCUGCACUAACAAGACGUCUUGGAACCAAACACUGGGCGGUGAUUAAUGAAUAAUGUUGGCAAGGUGCAGUGGAGACUUCUGGGAAAUCACUAACAGAGGAAGAAAUGUCCAAGACAAACACAGCUAAGAGGAAUUACGAAUGGGCAAAACCUUCCAGAGCACAAUCAACUAUUGACUGAAAAAAAUUGACUGUGGUGGUAGAGAUCCGACGUGGGCACCUACCAUGACUCAAACAUGUCUUCAGAAUGGACUAGAAGUGAUUACAAAGGCCGCCACAUGAUGGACACCACCUGGGAAACAAGGUUGGCCCAAAACAACAUGGCGGCGAACUGUGACGGACGAGCUGAAACAGACUGAUCUGACAGGAGAGGUCCAACACAUAGCCCAGGACAGGCCCAGAUGUAAGCAGAUCAUAGAUGCCUUCAGCCCCUUAAGGGACAGAACUAACAGAUGGCAAGAGAAUCAAAACACGUUGAGAAGAUGGCAGAAGGAAGAACAACUGAGGCAACGGGAGAAGCGAGGCUUUGAUAGCGCCGGUGAACGAGAGGGUGUGGGCUCCAGAGACCAGUUAAAGCAGCGGAUGAGCAAUGAGCUGCUUCUUUCAUCUGUACUACACAUCCAGUUCCCACCACAUAGGUAUCAGUGUGCGGGACAUGAUGGAGAGGGCACUGCAUUGUGUGUAAGGCCAACCAUCUGGCGUCAUAAAAAAAACGCCAGGAACAGAGAGGCCCCGCAGAAUGUCCAUCAUGUGCGGCAAACACAAGAUACAUUGAAUAGUACUUGUCAGGACUGACUUGUGGGUUUUGCCCUAACAGCGAUUUCUGUCAGAGGUAGGGCAAACGCAUGAAAUAUUUCCUUUUUGAAACUCAAGAUGCAUCCUAUAUCUUAUUUGUUUAUGAAUUGAAAAACAAAGAUGUUUACGUUAUGUGCUCCAUUUCUGUCUUCUUGGUUAGAGGGAGAGAGAGAGAGGGAGAAACAUUUCCUGGGUUACAAUAAACAAACCAGGUUUGGGUUGGGCUUAGUUAGUUUUCUCUCAGGCUUGGUUGGGUUUAGACAUACAUUUGCAGGCACGCUCGCAUAGCAAACCAUGAAGCAUGUAAACAGGUGCUGAACCGACAGAAAACUGAUCCUCAUCCAUUUUAUUAGUUGAGUAACCCAUUGAGUCUAUUAUCAAGAAAAAAAACUGCUAACCAGUGCACUAUUUUCAUUGUAUGAUUCAUAUGUUUUGGUUUUGGACUAAAUAUAUUGUCAAGAUGUAACUUUGAAAUCUGAGGAGUUGUGAUGUUUUUUUUGUUACAUUUUAUAGACAUAUUAUAUUGAAUAAACCAAUA
This is a long non-coding RNA of Pleuronectes platessa (European plaice), 1623 nucleotides long. RefSeq lists it as uncharacterized. Lineage: Eukaryota; Metazoa; Chordata; Actinopteri; Pleuronectiformes; Pleuronectidae. The record is from RefSeq and is a predicted model, not a curated record. The transcript has 4 exons.